UGGACAUGCCACACACCCCAUUGCUACAUAGGGCUAUAUAGCAUAAACAUUUGAGUCUUCAUUGCACAAUGUCAACCUCUUCCAUAAACGGGUGGUGCCUCUCUUCCAUCUCCCCAGCCAAAACCUCUCUCAGGAAGGCCACAUUACGCCCUUCCGUCUUCGCAACCCUUAACACUCCUUCUUCUCCUUCCUCUUCAUCUUCCUUCCCCUCUCUCAUUCAAGACAGGCCUGUUUUUGCUGCCCCUGCCCCCAUCAUCACCCCAACUGUGGUAUAUAUACCAAACACUACACUUUGAUCAUUCAUGCAUUCAAAUUACACAUUUGUUGUUGAGUUUAAUUUUUAUGCAUAGCUGGUGUAAACGUUUUUUUACCCUAUUAACCGAUGAAACAUCAUUGUCGGUAUGAAUUUUAGCAUAUAUAGUUAUUGUAAAACUAACAAACUUAUCAUAUAUAACAUUUUGUCCAUUGUUAGUACAUGCAUUAUUUACUCUUUGUUGUUUUGUUUUGUGUUUCAAAUUUUAAGGGACACAAAAUUCUCAUAAACUUUGCACUUUUGGAUCACAAUAUGUGUUUGAGUUGUCACCAUGACUUAGCUAGUUGAUCAUGUGCUUAAUAAUCUAACAAGGUCCACGUAUAAGGUUGCUACUUGUGUGUCGGCAGCCAGCACCAUACAAUUAACAAAUUAUUUAUAUUAGGAAGAAAAUUCAUACCGAAAAUAAAAACUAUAUAUAUAUAUAUAACGUCAAAUAGCGUUGUAUGGGGGAGGUGUGUCAGUGCGAGGAUUCUAAGGCGAUUAAAGAAGGAAAUCCAAACUACUAUAGAAGAAAAAGUCCAUUCAAAAUCAGGUUUGCCAACCAAAUAUAGCAACUAAUUAAUCCUCGGACAGUGUAAAAUCAAAUUUCCACUUUUCCGAGGUUUGACACUAUUUAUUUUCAUAAUAAUUGAAUUCUGAAUAUUAUUUUCCUUUAGUCCUUCCCCACUCAACAGAAUUUUAUCAUAGUUACUAACUUAUGCUAAAGUUUCAUGUUUAAUUAGGAGAAAUUUAUAAUUAGAAAAUUGCUUUUCGUUUCUCAUUUCAUUUUCUAGUCACUUGUUACCAGUUUUUUUUAUAAAAAAACUGACACGUAUUUUUCUUUUCUUUUUGGAGAGAGAGGAUAUGGCAAAG
This 1165-nucleotide long non-coding RNA is filed under the name Glycine max (soybean). RNAcentral's name for it is "long non-coding RNA (GMAX_LNC000936)". Lineage: Eukaryota; Viridiplantae; Streptophyta; Magnoliopsida; Fabales; Fabaceae. The record is from RNAcentral.